GUUAAUAUACAGAUGUACUAUCCUCUAUAUUUCUCUAAAAUUAUAUACACAGACACACACAAACACGCACAUUCCAGGCUGUGGAGUCAAAAAGAUUCAGAAAUCCCAGAACUAACUAGUUAUAUAACUUAGGACAUCUUCACUUCUCUGAAUAUCCUGAUCUAAAGUCCCUUCCUCUGGUGUGCAAUUGAUAAUAUAAAAUUGGAACAUGAGGUACACUCAUGUUGUAUAUUAUAUUAUAUUUAUAUUAGCUCAAUAAUAGUAUUCCAAACUUUAUUUAAUCUAGUCUUUAUAAAACACAUCCAAGGCAAGCUAAAGGUAGACCAUCUUGACAUAAACUUGUGAAAUAACUAAGUAAAUUCUUUACUUUUGAUAUAUUAUAGAUCCUUGCAACUUUAAAUAAGGACAUUAAACACUGUAGUAUAGAGGGGGGAAAAUAAAAAGAAGAAAGUUGACCGAAUACAUCAAAUAUUUGAUACUUUCUUAGCGAUACUUUUAAGGAGCCUUUCUUUUAAAAAGUAUGAACAAUUAAUUCUUGCUUCCCAAUGAUGUCAUAAAUGUAUGGUUCUGUAACAAUUGUGAACUGUCUUUAAAACUCAUGGUUGUAUAUAGCAUUGGUGCUUAUAUAAAGCAAAUAAUAAAUUUCUACUCAACACCUACCAAAUGCUAAGUACUAUGAAACAGUGUCAUCCAGGUUCUUAUGAUAUGUAUGGUAGAGUAUGUACGAAAAGCCCUCUCUCCUCCUGCAGCAGUUACAAAAAGCAAGAUCAAAUCAGUAGUAUUGCCUUUCUUUCCAUGGAAACAGAAUUAUCUUGACUUGCAUGUAAAUACCUAAGGCCAGAAAUACAGCCUAGGACUCCUGACUCCCAGCCCCUCACUCUUGUGAUGCAUCUCAACAUACUCACAGAUGGCUAGAACAGGGAAAAAAAGGUACUUCCAAGUAAAAUUUCAAUAGCCCACUACCUACCAUUGCCAGCUACCUCUACUCACCCAUUGGUUACUUAUUACAUACUUUAAUCCUACAUUUUGACAAUACCAGUUUGUUAAAUAUGAACUUUCUCCUUUUCUUUUUUCCCCCUCUAUGUCAUAGAUAUUUGCAGGCUUUAAACAAUUAUAUAUCAAUAAAUAUAGUCAUAUUUUUAGCCUAGGGUGGUUA
Molecule: long non-coding RNA, 1156 nt
Filed under: Vulpes vulpes (red fox)
Lineage: Eukaryota; Metazoa; Chordata; Mammalia; Carnivora; Canidae
Description: lncRNA (ENSVVUG00000004518.1)
Source: RNAcentral